AUACUUACCUGGCAGGGGAGGUACCAUGAUCAUGGAGGUGGCUUUCCUAGGGCGAGGCUUAUCCAUUGCACUCUGAUGUGCUGACUCCUGCAGUUUCCCCAAAUAUGGGAAACUUGACGGCAUACUUUGUGGUAGUGGGGGACUGUGUUCACAUUCUCCCCUU
Small nuclear RNA from Erinaceus europaeus (western European hedgehog), 163 nucleotides. Its record names the gene U1. It matches the Rfam family "U1 spliceosomal RNA". From Rfam's summary of the family: U1 is a small nuclear RNA (snRNA) component of the spliceosome (involved in pre-mRNA splicing). Its 5' end forms complementary base pairs with the 5' splice junction, thus defining the 5' donor site of an intron. The record is from Ensembl. NCBI's taxonomy places the organism in Eukaryota, Metazoa, Chordata, Mammalia, Eulipotyphla, Erinaceidae.